CUCUUCAGGAAGUGCCUCUAGAAAUGCAGGAUCAAUUGAUCGAGAAUCAGCAUCCACAUUAGGUUGCUGUUCUUCACCUGGACCACUUUGUUCUGCUUCUUGACUUGGAUGUUCUGAAGCUUCAGAUACACUAUGAAGGGCUACAUCCCUCGCACUUACCUGUGUAGAAUUUCCAAAAGAAACAUUAGUCCUCCUAGUUCGAAC
This 204-nucleotide long non-coding RNA is filed under the name Nicotiana benthamiana. Its description in RNAcentral is "long non-coding RNA (NBEN_LNC000159)". Lineage: Eukaryota; Viridiplantae; Streptophyta; Magnoliopsida; Solanales; Solanaceae. The record is from RNAcentral.